Non-coding RNA from Miniopterus natalensis, 430 nucleotides. Lineage: Eukaryota; Metazoa; Chordata; Mammalia; Chiroptera; Miniopteridae. The record is from RefSeq and is a predicted model, not a curated record.
GGAAGGAACAGAAGUGACUUGCUGCAUUCCAGCACCAUCUUGGGCCCUGGAAGGGAAGGCAUGGUGUUCCAAAGGCCAAAAGGACUGGGACACGUGCAGGGACUCUGGAAUGUCACCCAAGACCCAGAUUUGCUCUCUGGACACAUGGAGAUCUUCUCAUAGAGAUCUGAGACCACCUUGACCUCCAGGCUUUCUGUAGAUGGAUGGCAGAGAUGGAACGACUCUUAAUUUUCAGUGACUCUCAUCUCCUCCCAAUGAGAAGGGUGAAGACAGAAUGGACAAAGACAUGAGACCACGAGACAAGAGAGUGUGUGGAACUGAGUCCCCUGCAUCUGUACCUGGGCUGUAUGAACAGGAUCCCUAAAUGUCUGAGCUUCAAGAGACAACCCAAAGUAUCUGUCUCUCCUCUCAUUGCAUAGGUGAAGAAAUU